GGGAAACAGAAAUCUCCCGAAGGAUCGAGAGGGAAGAAAAACAUUCACCAUGAUGAUGUUGAUGUUAUAGAAGAGAGAAGUAACAAGCAAUCUGCAGUUUUCUAUGAAUCAGCUGUUCGAUCAGAUUUGUUUGAUAAAGUGUUGCUAUGCAGUGGAGGGAAAAAUGAAUCUGCUCUUCGUGAGUCCUGGCAGGUGGUAUCAAGUAAACAUGCUCCAGAGAACGUCCUUCCAAAGGGAUCUAACGGUAGGAAGUCCCGUGGAAAGAAACAGGGGGGUAAAAGAGAUGCAGUAGACUUGAGAACCAUCUUGACACUUGGCGCGCAAGCUGUUGCUGCAGAUGAUCGAAGGACAGCAAAUGAGUUUCUGAAGCAGAUUAGGCAGAAUUCUUCUCCGACGGGGGAUGGGAUGCAGAGGCUGGCCCAUUAUUUCGCCAAUGGUCUUGAGGCACGGAUGGCUGGUUCCGGUACUCAUAUCUAUAAAGCCCUUAUUACACGGCCUGUAUCAGCAGCUGAUGUCUUGAAAGCGUACCAUCUACUGCUUGCUGCCUGCCCAUUCAGGACUAUGUCUAGCUUUUUCUCAAAUAAG
Molecule: unclassified non-coding RNA, 585 nt
Filed under: Hevea brasiliensis (rubber tree)
Lineage: Eukaryota; Viridiplantae; Streptophyta; Magnoliopsida; Malpighiales; Euphorbiaceae
Source: RNAcentral